RNAcentral lists this ribosomal RNA (432 nucleotides) under uncultured bacterium. RNAcentral describes it as "partial 16S ribosomal RNA". It matches the Rfam family "Bacterial small subunit ribosomal RNA", at positions 29 to 507 of the family's 1533-position model. The record is from RNAcentral.
AGCGAACGCUGGCGGCAGGCCUAACACAUGCAAGUCGAACGAACUCUUCGGAGUUAGUGGCGGACGGGUGAGUAACACGUGGGAACGUGCCUUUAGGUUCGGAAUAACUCAGGGAAACUUGUGCUAAUACCGAAUGUGCCCUUCGGGGGAAAGAUUUAUCGCCUUUAGAGCGGCCGCGUCUGAUUAGCUAGUUGGUGAGGUAAAGGCUCACCAAGGCGACGAUCAGUAGCUGGUCUGAGAGGAUGAUCAGCCACAUUGGGACUGAGACACGGCCCAAACUCCUACGGGAGGCAGCAGUGGGGAAUCUUGCGCGAUGGGCGAAAGCCUGACGCAGCCAUGCCGCGUGAAUGAUGAAGGUCUUAGGAUUGUAAAAUUCUUUCACCGGGGACGAUAAUGACGGUACCCGGAGAAGAAGCCCCGGCUAACUUCGUG